Molecule: ribosomal RNA, 1017 nt
Filed under: uncultured bacterium
Lineage: Bacteria
Also listed under: 1 other name
Description: bacterial SSU rRNA
Rfam family: Bacterial small subunit ribosomal RNA
Source: RNAcentral
UGAGGAAUAUUGGUCAAUGGACGAGAGUCUGAACCAGCCAAGUAGCGUGAAGGAUGAAGGUUCUAUGGAUUGUAAACUUCUUUUAUACGGGAAUAAACGAAUCCACGCGUGGAUUUUUGCAUGUACCGUAUGAAUAAGGAUCGGCUAACUCCGUGCCAGCAGCCGCGGUAAUACGGAGGAUCCGAGCGUUAUCCGGAUUUAUUGGGUUUAAAGGGAGCGUAGAUGGGUUGUUAAGUCAGUUGUGAAAGUUUGCGGCUCAACCGUAAAAUUGCAGUUGAUACUGGGUGUCUUGAGUACAGUAGAGGCAGGCGGAAUUCGUGGUGUAGCGGUGAAAUGCUUAGAUAUCACGAAGAACUCCGAUUGCGAAGGCAGCCUGCUGGACUGUAACUGACGCUGAUGCUCGAAAGUGUGGGUAUCAAACAGGAUUAGAUACCCUGGUAGUCCACACAGUAAACGAUGAAUACUCGCUGUUUGCGAUAUACAGUAAGCGGCCAAGCGAAAGCGUUAAGUAUUCCACCUGGGGAGUACGCCGGCAACGGUGAAACUCAAAGGAAUUGACGGGGGCCCGCACAAGCGGAGGAACAUGUGGUUUAAUUCGAUGAUACGCGAGGAACCUUACCCGGGCUUGAAUUGCAACUGAAUGAUGUGGAGACAUGUCAGCCGCAAGGCAGUUGUGAAGGUGCUGCAUGGUUGUCGUCAGCUCGUGCCGUGAGGUGUCGGCUUAAGUGCCAUAACGAGCGCAACCCUUAUCGAUAGUUACCAUCAGGUUAUGCUGGGGACUCUGUCGAGACUGCCGUCGUAAGAUGUGAGGAAGGUGGGGAUGACGUCAAAUCAGCACGGCCCUUACGUCCGGGGCUACACACGUGUUACAAUGGGGGGUACAGAAGGCAGCUACACGGCGACGUGAUGCUAAUCCCGAAAGCCUCUCUCAGUUCGGAUUGGAGUCUGCAACCCGACUCCAUGAAGCUGGAUUCGCUAGUAAUCGCGCAUCAGCCACGGCGCGGUGAAUACGUUCCC